GCCCGGCUGGCUCAGUUGGUGGAGCAUGAGACUUCUGAUCUCAGGGUUGUGAGCGUGAGCCCCAUGUUGGGGG
RNAcentral lists this transfer RNA (73 nucleotides) under Felis catus (domestic cat). It matches the Rfam family "tRNA". Rfam says of the family: Transfer RNA (tRNA) molecules are approximately 80 nucleotides in length. Their secondary structure includes four short double-helical elements and three loops (D, anti-codon, and T loops). The record is from Rfam by way of RNAcentral. Lineage: Eukaryota; Metazoa; Chordata; Mammalia; Carnivora; Felidae.